UACGAAGGGGGCGAGCGUUUGUUCGGAGUUACUGGGCGUAAAGAGUGCGUAGGCGGUGUUCCAAGUCUGUUGAUGAAAUCUCCCGGCUCAACUGGGAGGGUGCGGCGGAAACUGGGACGCUGGAGUACGGGAGAGGUGAAGCGGAAUUCCUGGUGUAGCGGUGAAAUGCGUAGAUAUCAGGAGGAACACCUGCGGUGUAGACGGCUUACUGGACCGUAACUGACGCUGAGGCACGAAAGCGUGGGUAGCAAACAGG
Molecule: ribosomal RNA, 256 nt
Filed under: uncultured bacterium
Lineage: Bacteria
Description: partial 16S ribosomal RNA
Rfam family: Bacterial small subunit ribosomal RNA
Source: RNAcentral